CCUACGGGAGGCAGCAGUGAGGAAUAUUUGUCAAUGGACGAGAGUCUGAACCAGCCAAGUAGCGUGAAGGAUGACUGCCCUAUGGGUUGUAAACUUCUUUUAUAUGGGAAUAAAAUGUUCCACGUGUGGGAUUUUGUAUGUACCAUAUGAAUAAGGAUCGGCUAACUCCGUGCCAGCAGCCGCGGUAAUACGGAGGAUCCGAGCGUUAUCCGGAUUUAUUGGGUUUAAAGGGAGCGUAGGUGGAUUGUUAAGUCAGUUGUGAAAGUUUGCGGCUAAACCGUAAAAUUGCAGUUGAAACUGGCAGUCUUGAGUACAGUAGAGGUGGGCGGAAUUCGUGGUGUAGCGGUGAAAUGCUUAGAUAUCACGAAGAACUCCGAUUGCGAAGGCAGUUCACUGGACUGCAACUGACACUGAGGCUCGAAAGUGUGGGUAUCAAACAGGAUUAGAUACCCGAGUAGUC
Molecule: ribosomal RNA, 460 nt
Filed under: uncultured bacterium
Lineage: Bacteria
Description: partial 16S ribosomal RNA
Rfam family: Bacterial small subunit ribosomal RNA
Source: RNAcentral